CUACGGGAGGCAGCAGUAGGGAAUUCUUCCACCAAUGGACGAAAGUCUGAUGGAGCACGCCGCGUGAGUGAAGAAGGGUUUCGGCUCGUAAAACUCUGUUGUUAAAGAAGAACAUAUCUGAGAGUAACUGUUCAGGUAUUGACGGUAUUUAACCAGAAAGCCACGGCUAACUACGUGCCAGCAGCCGCGGUAAUACGUAGGUGGCAAGCGUUGUCCGGAUUUAUUGGGCGUAAAGCGAGCGCAGGCGGUUUUUUAAGUCUGAUGUGAAAGCCUUCGGCUCAACCGAAGAAGUGCAUCGGAAACUGGGAAACUUGAGUGCAGAAGAGGACAGUGGAACUCCAUGUGUAGCGGUGAAAUGCGUAGAUAUAUGGAAGAACACCAGUGGCGAAGGCGGCUGUCUGGUCUGUAACUGACGCUGAGGCUCGAAAGUAUGGGUAGCAAACAGGAUUAGAUACCCUGGUAGUCCAUACCGUAAACGAUGAAUGCUAAGUGUUGGAGGGUUUCCGCCCUUCAGUGCUGCAGCUAACGCAUUAAGCAUUCCGCCUGGGGAGUACGGCCGCAAGGCUGAAACUCAAAGGAAUUGACGGGGGCCCGCACAAGCGGUGGAGCAUGUGGUUUAAUUCGAAGCUACGCGAAGAACCUUACCAGGUCUUGACAUACUAUGCAAAUCUAAGAGAUUAGACGUUCCCUUCGGGGACAUGGAUACAGGUGGUGCAUGGUUGUCGUCAGCUCGUGUCGUGAGAUGUUGGGUUAAGUCCCGCAACGAGCGCAACCCUUAUUAUCAGUUGCCAGCAUUAAGUUGGGCACUCUGGUGAGACUGCCGGUGACAAACCGGAGGAAGGUGGGGAUGACGUCAAAUCAUCAUGCCCCUUAUGACCUGGGCUACACACGUGCUACAAUGGAUGGUACAACGAGUUGCGAACUCGCGAGAGUAAGCUAAUCUCUUAAAGCCAUUCUCAGUUCGGAUUGUAGGCUGCAACUCGCCUACAUGAAGUCGGAAUCGCUAGUAAUCGCGGAUCAGCAUGCCGCGGUGAAUACGUUCCCGGGCCUUGUACACACCGCCCGUCACACCAUGAGAGUUUGUAACACCCAAAGUCGGUGGGGUAACCUUUUAGGAACCAGCCGCCUAA
Molecule: ribosomal RNA, 1130 nt
Filed under: unidentified
Description: bacterial SSU rRNA
Rfam family: Bacterial small subunit ribosomal RNA
Source: RNAcentral